GCCCUUAGAGUUUGAUCAUGGCUCAGAUUGAACGCUGGCGGCAUGCCUAACACAUGCAAGUCGAACGGUAACAGGCCUUCGGGUGCUGACGAGUGGCGGACGGGUGAGUAACGCGUAGGAAUCUGCCUGGUAGUGGAGGACAACCCGGGGAAACUCGGGCUAAUACUGCAUACGCCCUACGGGGGAAAGCGGGGGAUCUUCGGACCUCGCGCUAUCAGAUGAGCCUGCGUUGGAUUAGCUUGUUGGUGGGGUAAAGGCCUACCAAGGCUGCGAUCCAUAGCUGGUCUGAGAGGAUGAUCAGCCACACUGGGACUGAGACACGGCCCAGACUCCUACGGGAGGCAGCAGUGGGGAAUAUUGGACAGUGGGGGCAACCCUGAUCCAGCAAUGCCGCGUGUGUGAAGAAGGCCUGCGGGUUGUAAAGCACUUUCAGUGGGGAAGAAAAGC
This 447-nucleotide ribosomal RNA is filed under the name uncultured Gammaproteobacteria bacterium. Its description in RNAcentral is "bacterial SSU rRNA". It matches the Rfam family "Bacterial small subunit ribosomal RNA", at positions 1 to 453 of the family's 1533-position model. The record is from RNAcentral. Lineage: Bacteria; Pseudomonadati; Pseudomonadota; Gammaproteobacteria.